CCGAACUGUCGACACGAGUUGUUGCUGGUCCUCAAAUGUGGGGGCAUGUGCACGCUCUGUUUACAAAUCCACCCACACCUGUGCACCCUCAGUAGUUCUAUGGCGUGGAGGACACCGUCCUCUGGCCGUGGUUCUACAUCUUUACACACACACAGUGAUAAAGUCCAAUGGGAUGUAUGUAGCGUUUAACGCAAUAUAAUA
This 201-nucleotide unclassified non-coding RNA is filed under the name uncultured Basidiomycota. RNAcentral describes it as "sequence contains ITS1". Lineage: Eukaryota; Fungi; Basidiomycota. The record is from RNAcentral.